RNAcentral lists this microRNA precursor (170 nucleotides) under Sorghum bicolor (sorghum). RNAcentral's name for it is "miR172b stem-loop (sbi-MIR172b)". Its record names the gene sbi-MIR172b. The record is from miRBase by way of RNAcentral. Lineage: Eukaryota; Viridiplantae; Streptophyta; Magnoliopsida; Poales; Poaceae.
GCGUGGCAUCAUCAAGAUUCACACACUGCUUGCAAAUGCAUACAUGCAUCUCUGCCGCCUUCUUUGCCUGCCAUUAAUAGCAGUUUUACUACAUGUUUUAGCUGCUGCUGCAUCAUAUAUGCCUCUGUGAAUAUAUAUGUGUAUGUGUGGGAAUCUUGAUGAUGCUGCAU